RNAcentral lists this ribosomal RNA (372 nucleotides) under uncultured organism. Its description in RNAcentral is "bacterial SSU rRNA". It matches the Rfam family "Bacterial small subunit ribosomal RNA", at positions 526 to 896 of the family's 1533-position model. The record is from RNAcentral.
CGUAGGGGCCGAGCGUUGUCCGGAGUUACUGGGCGUAAAGCGCGCGCAGGCGGUCAUUUAAGCCUACCGUGAAAGCCCCCGGCUCAACCGGGGAGGGUCGGUGGGGACUGGGUGACUUGAGGACGGCAGGGGCUGGUGGAAUCCCCGGUGUAGUGGUGAAAUGCGUAGAGAUCGGGGGGAACACCCGUGGCGAAGGCGGCCAGCUGGGCCGGCCCUGACGCUGAGGCGCGAAGGCGUGGGGAGCGAACGGGAUUAGAUACCCCGGUAGUCCACGCAGUAAACGAUGCCGACUGGGCGUGGGGGGACUUGACCCCCUCCGUGCCGGAGCCAACGCGGGAAGUCGGCCGCCGGGGGAGUACGGCCGCAAGGCUA